CUUGGACAACCUGGUGAAGUUGGUCAACACAAGAGGAGAGCUUGGACUAAUACUGAAAAGAAUUGUGUGGAUAAUUGUGAAGAUGUUGAUGCUGAACGUGAGUGUGUCAAGGGAGUGUGUAUCUACAUGGGUGAAGACCCUGGCAUGCUUAUCCGGGAGUAUGUGGUAUGUACUUUUUUUUUUUUCUUUUUUUUCCGGACUUUCCACAGUGUCAUAUUAUUUACUUGGCAUGAAAUGACUAACAUGGCUUCUUUUUUACAGGGCAUGGAAGAACAUGCCAUCAGUGAGACUGUUGAAGACACCACUGUUUGAAUUUAUCUUCUUAAAGAUCAAGCUUCAGCAGAUGAACAAAAGUUGUCCUUGCAAGCAUCAGGGUGGCGAAGAAUUUGGAUAAUGUAGCAUUUGCUGUGAUAAUGCUAUUUGGACUAAUGUAUACAUUAAACCUUGCCUACCCUGCGGACCUUUGCUACAACUUUGAUGUUUUCCAGAAGGUUUUCAUGGAACUGGAUGGAGCUAAACUCUCUAAAGUUCUUGCUUUCAAAAACCAUCUGUUUCAUUGAGAAGUCAGAGACUGCACUUCUGCAAUUCUUUGCAGUUUUUCAUUUUGUGUUCAGUAACGUUAUACUGCUUAUGUUUUUAUUGCUUUCCCCUCAUGUGACUGCAAUGCAGGAUGAUUUUUCCUUUUGGUAUCAUGUUGUAAGAAAUUUCUACUGACGAUUUUUAGCAAUAUGUUCUAAGUCAACCUUAAUGUCCUGCUUACAUGUUUAAAAUGAAGAUUAAAAUUCAUGUAGGUGUUUGGUAUUAGUUAUGUAACAAUGUCAUUUAAGGCUCAACUUAGUUGAAAUCUUAUACAGGUAAAUACUUGUACAGAAGCUGAAACUGUUGUCAAAUAGUACACAAGUUAUAUUUGUGUAAAUCUGUUUAUUCAUAAAAGCGUGUUGCUUUUUUUUAGGUAGUCUUAAUUUAGUUUACAUUUUCAAUUGUGUAAUUAAUACAAAUGUUAUAUGUAAGAGAUGACAGGAUCAUCUAUAAGCAAUUUCUUUUAUUUGCUGCUAAGGUCAGUUUUUUGUGAAAUAUUUGCAAAUAUAUUCUCAAACUAACUUUUUCUUUCAGUUAUUUCUGCAGGCUAUCUUUAAAAAUGUGUUAACAAGUUUAUAUGGAUGUGAUUUUGGACUUGUUCAUGGCAGAAUUGCUGCU
Molecule: long non-coding RNA, 1197 nt
Organism: Astatotilapia calliptera (eastern happy)
Lineage: Eukaryota; Metazoa; Chordata; Actinopteri; Cichliformes; Cichlidae
Source: Ensembl